UACGGGGGGAGCAAGCGUUGUUCGGAUUUACUGGGCGUAAAGGGCGCGUAGGCGGCCAGCGCAAGUCAGUUGUGAAAUCUCCGGGCUUAACUCGGAAAGGUCAACUGAUACUGUGCGGCUAGAGUGCGGAAGGGGCAACUGGAAUUCUUGGUGUAGCGGUGAAAUGCGUAGAUAUCAAGAGGAACACCUGCGGCGAAGGCGGGUUGCUGGGCCGACACUGACGCUGAGGCGCGAAAGCCAGGGGAGCGAACGGG
Molecule: ribosomal RNA, 254 nt
Filed under: uncultured bacterium
Lineage: Bacteria
Description: partial 16S ribosomal RNA
Rfam family: Bacterial small subunit ribosomal RNA
Source: RNAcentral